Monodelphis domestica (gray short-tailed opossum) is the source of this 2369-nucleotide long non-coding RNA. RefSeq lists it as uncharacterized. The record is from RefSeq and is a predicted model, not a curated record. NCBI's taxonomy places the organism in Eukaryota, Metazoa, Chordata, Mammalia, Didelphimorphia, Didelphidae.
AUGACCACAUAGCGAAUUAAGACCAAACAGAAAAGCUAUUGAGGAUAACUCCAGCAAAAGUAGAUUUUUUAAGCCUCCUGAAUUCUUAAGGGAUUAGCUAAAUUCUUUGUUCAGGGUUCAUUGUGGAGAUCAGAACUGUGAGCCUGCUCUUGAAAUGGGGAACUGAGGAAAUUCUAGCAGAAAUAAUUCCUUGCACUUGUCUAAAUCUUACAGGUGUGGCUUGCCCUGCCCAUCUCUACAGUGACACAGUUCUGCAGCCCUGUGCAACUUCAUAGGAUCAUAGAUUUCAAGCUGGAAGGGACAAACCUAUUCACUGGAUGGAAGCUUGAAGGGACCAUUUUGAGAUGAAGCAGCAGGCUUAGACAAGUUAAAUGACUUGUUUAAAGUUAUGCAGGAAAACGUUGGGGCGCCCUCCUUCCCCGAGCCCGCCCAAAUGACAGAAUGAGAACAUCACACCCCCUCAAGGAACCUCAAGAGGUCAUCUGGUCCAGCCCCCUGCCUCCAGGCAGGUCUACACCUAAAUUGUCCUCGACAGAGCUUUCGGCUCGCCGGUCCCCAUUUGCUCCGAGCGCCCCAGCAGCCGGCACCAAUAUCUCCAGUGUUAAGAAUGUUCUUUUCCAAGACUUCUAGUGCUGUGGUUCCUGAGGAAGUUGGGGAUGCAUCACAUGGAGAAGCAACUACCAAGUCACAUCCCUCUCUAGACCAGAGAUUCUUAACAGGGUUGACUUCUGUGGUAGAGACAUGGAGAGAGAGAGGACGUGUAAGCCAAGAUGCAAGAAACAAGCUGGGGACCUGACCUACCUUUCAAUCAAGGAGAAGUUUCCAAAUGGAAUGUUCCCAGGAGUUGGCAGUUGGGGGUCUGACACAGAGGAGAAGAAGCAGGAUCUUGGACUUUGAUUCUGUCUCUGGCUCUGGGAGUUGAAGCUGACCAGGGGAGAAACUGGGACUUCUGAUUCUGUCUCUGGCUCUGGGGGUUGAAGCUGGCCAGGGGGAAGAAGCUGAACUGAUAUUAUUUAGUUUCUGUCCCAGACUGAAGGACCCUUGAGGGGGGGCUUCUGAAAUUGGUGGCUUUGUGAAGAAGAAAGAUUUUAACUGUUGUCCUCUAUCUCUGACUGUCCCUCUGUCACGGUUGUGACUUCCCAUGCCCUCAUAAUCUUCAUUUUAGAUUAGGAACACCCUCAUCCCUCUUACCUCAGUUUCCCAUCCUGUUUCCCAAUAAACCCCAUGACUUGAAAGGAAAAGAAAAGAGUAUCUUCAUAGUCUACUCAGGGGGGAGGGGGGAAGCCAAAGGCUUCAAGAAGAAACUGGGAGGGAGAGGGUUGGAGAAGGGAGGGAGUGAAGAGAGGAGGAGGUUAGAUUGAUCUACUAGUCAUCAGUAGGGAUCAGUAGCCAAUCCCCAGAGCAUUCCUCUGUAUCAGUAUCUCUCAGUGUCUCUCAAAGUACUUCUAUCUCCAUUGCAAAUAAGCAAGUGUGUCCCCAUACUUAGUAGCAGCUCUCUCUAGUCUCAAGUCAGAGUAUAGUCAGUUACAAGCAACCAGAAAUACUUUCCACAGAUUACCAUUUCUAUUUCACUCCUUAGAGUUCUUUUAAGUAUAGCAUCAUUUCUGCAAAAAAUGAUAGUUUUACUUCCUUAGCUUUGCUUAUUCCCUCAAUUUUUUUUGUCUUAUUGUGAUAGCCAACAUUACUAGUUCUAUGUCAAAAAGAAAUAGUGGAAACUGAUAUCUUCAUUUCGCCUCUAAUUUUAUAGGAAAGUUUGCUAGUUUAUUAUAUAUGAUGAUAGCUCUUGGUUUUAAACAAUGAUCAAUACAGUGAACACACAUGAUGCUAGAGGAACAGUGUGGAAACAUUCUAUCUACUUCCUAAAAGAGAUGAUAAAUUACAGGCAUAUAAUUAGGUAAGUAGAUAGGUAUGCAGAAAAUUAAUGUUUAGUUCUAUUAUUUAUUUGUAAUAUUUCUAUGGAAAAUCAUUCAUUUUUGCCUUUCAGAUUCAGACUGAAAUAGUCCAAGCCUCAGGGCCUUUGAAUUGGGCUGGGGCCUUUUGUCUUUUGUUCAACGCCCUUAUAUUUUAAAAAGAACACCUUCCCUAAGGCAUUUCAAUGUAGGGUAGGCCAACAUUUCCUUUAUUUGGUAAAGAACUAUUUCCCCUGUGAUGAAGUAAGGAGGGAAGAAUUGAGCACUCUAAGUCUUACUCCUCUUUUGAAAUAUCCACCAAUGGGGACUGCCCAAGGAGGUCUAAGGGAUAAACUGUCAGGCCAAUCAGAAAGAGGACACACUUCACAUUUUGAGAGUCAGGGAUCACUGAGGAUCUUUUGCUUGAGAGCCAGACACAAGGACCUAUUCUUUAAGUUACUGCAUGCUCCAUUAAUAAAU